Molecule: long non-coding RNA, 2135 nt
Filed under: Salvia miltiorrhiza (redroot sage)
Lineage: Eukaryota; Viridiplantae; Streptophyta; Magnoliopsida; Lamiales; Lamiaceae
Description: long non-coding RNA (SMIL_LNC005907)
Source: RNAcentral
UGCAUGCAAAAUCUCAAUCAUAAGCAUCAUAAAUAAUGAUUGCGCAAUAAAAAAUACUCAACAUGUAUGUACCACGUCUACAAUUCAUCAUCAAAGGUACCGAGAAGUAGGCCUCCCUCCCGAUUACCGUGACCGGUCGAUCCGAUAGACGGCUCGUAGUCACCUCUGUGCACAAAAUCCCGCUUAAGGUAAGACCAAAUUUGUCCCAUCAGUAGAGGGUAACACACAAGUUCAUCAUCAAAAUAUACGGCAAGUCAAUAAGUUCAAAUCAUAAUUAUUCUAAAAAAUCUAUCAAAUCAUAUCAUCAUUAUCAUUUGAGAACUCAUAUAAGUAGUAGUCAAAGUAAUGCCCACCUGAUAAACUUAGCUUACUUCAAGUGGUUCUCGGGGUGAUCUCACUUGCGUCCUCGACUGGUAUCUUCAAAUAUCAUCAUCGUAGUAGUGCAUGAGACAAGUUAGAGGAACAAGUCAGAAACUAACCUUAGUCCUAUUACAACACUCAUCAUAAUCACACUCGACUUAUCUAAAUCUUAAAAACUCAAUACUACGUCAAUAAACACUAAUCCUAUUCUCGACUUUAUCGCUCAUCUAGGACUUUUCACAUUAGUAACCAAACACAUAGACAGAGCACACAUACAAGCAAAAAUGGAUUCACAUUAGCAUAUGAAAGGCUAAACAAGUUCAUUAAUCCAUAAAGCAAUUAUGUUUUAGAAACUUUUAUGAAAAUCGGAAAAACAUUUACAGUUGGGGAAAAAUUCCCAAAAAAUUGUUUUAGAAAGCCAAGAGUAUACUAUCAAGCAUUCUUGAUUCAAUCAUUCAUAAUUAAAUCACAUAAACAAGUUAUCUCAAUUAAAAGCAUUAUUGACAAACUAAACUCAAAACUCUUUUGUUAGAAAAUUCUCAAAAUUUCAACUUAAGCUCACAGUCUACCCAAGAACAUGAAUAUACGAUCAUACGACUCAAGAAAAAUCAAACUCGGCUUCCUUGGACUCAUCAUUUCAGUCAUCAAAAAAAAAUUAGGGAACGAUCCAUUUCAUCUCAUCUUUCAUAUAUAGGCUUAAUUAAUCAUCACAUAGCCAUAUACCUUCAUAAUUAACACUUAACUCAUUGCAUAUGAGAGAUCUCAUGUAAACGCACAAACUAAACUCUGUGAAAAUUCACAAUUCAAUGAAAAUUCUCGAUCUAAUCAUGGGUCCUAUAUAGGUUCCAAUUAGGAUAUAAACAUCAUUAACACAAGUAGGGAUCUCAUAAAUCAUGAAUACCCAAUUUCUAGUAAACUAAACUCAAGUAAAUUCACAUAUAGGCAACAAUUAAUCAAAUUGUUCAUGAAUACUUAGUCUAGACAUGCUUUUAAUCAAUUAAUCAUAUCCAAUUCAAGUAUAUAUCUCAUAAAUCAAAAGGUCUCAAUUUUAAGUAAACUAACUUUUAGAAAAUCUUUAAUCAUGCUCAAAUAACCAAUUAAAGCCUAGAUCUAACAAAUUAGUUCACUCAAUCAAUAAUAUAAGCUAUCACAUAACUAUUUCAAGCACAUAAGUAAAAAUACAUAAUUUCCAUCAAACUAACUCAUUCCAAUUUCCAUCAAUCACUUCCAAUCAUCAAUCCAAUCCAUCAAUUAUCACCAUAGCAAACUCAAUAACUCAUAUCAACUCUCAAUUCAUCAAUUAAGUCAUAAUCUCAAAAAUUCCCAAACUUGGAUAAACUAACUCAAAGGAAAUUUCAUAAAUCUUUCCAAAGCUUAUCAAAACACAUAGAAAUCAUCUUAGUACACUCCAAAUAGAAUUAAUCUCACUCCAAUUUAAGAAAAGAAAGAGAAAAUUUUUUGAAGGGCAAGGCCCUAAUUUUCAAAAAUUUCAAGGAAAUAAGGAGGGGGUGUUUUCUUGCUUCAAUAAUGCAUAAACACACAUAUAUCACACCAUAGAGUCUAGUUCUAUGAAAUUAAAACACUUACUCAAGACUUAAAAGAAAGAGUGAAAAUCUUCUCUGCUUCAAGCUUGAAACUCCAUCUUUCUAGGUCUUGAUUUGAGGUAGAGGUGUUUUAGGUUGAUUUCUAUGGAAGGCUUUUGUGUAAAGAUGAUCCAAAAGCUUUAGUGUUCUUCAAUCAUGGAGGAUUAAUGGAGAAGAAAGAGAGAUGAGAAU